CCUACGGGCGGCUGCAGUAAGGAAUAUUGGACAAUGCCCGCAAGGGUGAUCCAGCCAUGCCGCGUGCAGGAAGACGGCCCUAUGGGUUGUAAACUGCUUUUACACCGGAGAAAACUUCCGUUCGUGAACGGAGCUGAUAGUAUGGUGAGAAUAAGCAUCGGCUAACUUCGUGCCAGCAGCCGCGGUAAUACGAAGGAUGCAAGCGUUAUCCGGAUUCAUUGGGUUUAAAGGGAGCGUAGGUGGCCUUAUAAGUCAGUGGUGAAAUCUCUGGGCUU
RNAcentral lists this ribosomal RNA (275 nucleotides) under uncultured bacterium. RNAcentral's name for it is "partial 16S ribosomal RNA". It matches the Rfam family "Bacterial small subunit ribosomal RNA", at positions 338 to 610 of the family's 1533-position model. The record is from RNAcentral.